RNAcentral lists this non-coding RNA (28 nucleotides) under Homo sapiens (human). Lineage: Eukaryota; Metazoa; Chordata; Mammalia; Primates; Hominidae. The record is from RNAcentral.
UGACAGUGGUAGUACAAAGAAUGGUAGG